RNAcentral lists this long non-coding RNA (1320 nucleotides) under Delphinapterus leucas (beluga whale). Its description in RNAcentral is "lncRNA (ENSDLEG00000009876.1)". Lineage: Eukaryota; Metazoa; Chordata; Mammalia; Artiodactyla; Monodontidae. The record is from RNAcentral.
CCCUCUCGCGGGCGCGGCUCGGGGCCAGGACCGGGGAGACCCAGGAGAGGCGGCGGGGCGCGGGCGGCGAAUCUGGCCGGGACGCCGCCGUCUGCGGGCGCUCGGAGGGAGCUCCACCUGGUCGCCGCGCCGCGGCCGGAGGGGCGGGGCCCGGCUUCCCCGAGGCGGCGGCGCCUCCUCGCUCCCGAGCGCGCACUCCCCGGCGUCCGGCGCACGCGCGAGGCCGGGAGAGAGAGCGCCGCGGCGGCGGCGGCGGGAGCGGGAGGGGGAGGAGGAGGAGGCGUUGGCGGAGGCGGAGGAGAAGGGCGGCUGAGGGGAGGCUGGCCGCGCGCGCGGUGGUGGCGGCGGCGCCGGCGACCUGAGCCGGGCGGAGUGGAGAGCGACGGAGGGGGCGGAGAGAGAGGGAGGCGGAGAGGAGUGAGAGCCGCAUUUCCAGUUCCCAACUACGAGUCCCGAGUUUGUAGAUGGGGCUGCUCGGCGGCGUCUGCGGCUGAGGAAGAGCAGCGGCGGCGGGAGGAGGGGAGCGACGGCGGCGCGGAGGAAGCCGAGGUGCGAGCCGGUGAGUUGCCGGGGCCCCCACGUCUCUCGGGUAACGGUCUAGCCGCGCGCCGAGCUGGCCGGGGGGCGCCCUGUUGCUUGCGGCUUCGCGCCACGCGGGGACCCCGGCCCGCCCCGCCCCCUCGGCACCUGGGCUCGGGCGGGCGGCGGGGGCGGCGGGGGCUGUUCGGCUCGUCUCGUGCGGGAGGGCGCGCUCUGCGGGGCCCCAGGUUUCCGGGCUGCGGGCGUGCGGGCUGGCCGGCCGAGCGCGGCAACGUGUCUGGCCCAUGCUGCCGGCUGCCGCGCCCCGCUCUCCGCCCGCGCUCCCCGGCGCGGCCCGGGCGGGGGCAGGGCUGGGGCUGGGGGCGCGGGGCCCCCUCCGAGAGCCGGGCGCGGGCGCCUGCACCCUCUGCGGCGAGAGUGGCGUUAAAGCAUGAAUGGAGAGCCGCGCCGGGGACGGCGGUUGCCGUGACUGACACCUUCGGAGUCGGUGCCCAGUGGGGGCGACUCCGCCGGCCUCUGGCUGCCUCUCGAGCUCCGAGUUCUUGGGGGAGGAGGCUUUCGGCGAGUUCUGCUGCCACUUCCGAGGCACGAGACUCCAGUUGUUUGGCCAGAGUGGUUUUGGGCCGAGCACACGCUGCUCCGGAGGCGUUUGCGGCUGAGGCAGUGCUUUCCGAUUCUGAGUACGUUGGUCUGGAACCAGAAAGGUGCUGGCUUUUUUUGUUUGUGGUUAUUUUGGGGGUUUUUUUUGGCUUUUUUGGCGGGGUGGAGGGCCAGGAGUGA